CCUACGGGUGACAGCAGUGAGGAAUAUUGGGCAAUGGACGCAAGUCUGAACCAGCCAUGCCGCGUGCGGGAAGACGGCUCUCUGAGUUGUAAACUGCUUUUGUACGGGAGUAAACGCAGAUUCGUGUAUCUGUCUGAAAGUAUCGUACGAGUAAGGGUCGGCUAACUCCGUGCCAGCAGCCGCGGUAAUACGGAGGAUUCAAGCGUUAUCCGGAUUUAUUGGGUUUAACGGGUGCGUAGGCGGUAUGAUAAGUUAGAGGUGAAAUCCCGAGGCUCAACUUCGGAAUUGCCUUUGAUACUGUUCGGCUAGAGAGUAGGUGCGGUAGGUGGAAUGCAUGGUGUAGCGGUGAAAUGCUUAGAGAUCAUACAGAACACCGAUUGCGAAGGCAGCUUACCAAGCCACUUCUGACGUUGAGGCACGAAAGCGUGGGGAGCAAACAGGAUUAGAUACCCCAGUAGUC
Molecule: ribosomal RNA, 460 nt
Filed under: uncultured bacterium
Lineage: Bacteria
Description: partial 16S ribosomal RNA
Rfam family: Bacterial small subunit ribosomal RNA
Source: RNAcentral